Cynara cardunculus var. scolymus (artichoke) is the source of this 2108-nucleotide RNA transcript. It is a transcript of the gene named UBP1-associated protein 2A-like, with no coding region annotated. The transcript has 4 exons. Lineage: Eukaryota; Viridiplantae; Streptophyta; Magnoliopsida; Asterales; Asteraceae. The record is from RefSeq and is a predicted model, not a curated record.
CAAUUUAUAACCCUAAAUCUCUUCUCGAUCUGGUGAGACUCGCACCGCUGAAACCCUAGCCUCCACCCAACUCAACAUCGAAAGAAACCCUAAAUCGACUCUCUUUCGCCCCUUCCAUGGCUAAGAAGCGAAAGUCCCGUGCUUCACAACCUUCGGUAGAAGAACCAGUACCUAUGGAGGAGCCUCAAGAACAGAUCAAUGAAGCACAACAGGAACAGGAACAGGAGCAGGAACAGGAACAUACCGCCAACGAUGAUGUCUUAGGGAAGGAGCUAGUGCAAGAAGGUGAUGAAAACGCUCAAAAUCUGGAGGAGAAUAAAGAAAAGUAUGAGCAAGAGGAGGAGGACGAUGCUCAAGAAGAAGACGAAGAAGAAGAAAGCGAAGAAGAAACCACCGUAAACGAGGUCAAGGUUGAAGCGAACGGCGGCGGCGGAGGAGAAGAAACAGAGGAUUUGGAUGAAGAACCCGUAGAGAAGCUUCUUGAGCCGUUCUCCAAGGAACAGCUCCUCUUACUGCUCAAGGAGGCUGUUUCGAAGCACCCUGAAUUUAUCGAAAGCGUCCAGAAGAUUGCCGAUGCGGACCCUGCUCACAGGAAAAUAUUUGUGCAUGGUCUAGGUUGGGAUACCAACUCUGAGAUCCUAACUAGCGAGUUUGGAAAGUACGGUGAGAUUGAGGAUUGCAAGGCUGUGGUGGACAAGGUCUCUGGAAAAUCUAAAGGUUAUGCGUUUAUACUAUUUAAGCACCGGGCCGGGGCUCAGAAAGCUUUGAAGGAACCUCAGAAGAAGAUUGGGAACCGCAUGACCUCAUGUCAGCUGGCUUCUGCUGGGCCAAUCCCUGCUCCUCCACCGACUGCACCUCCGGUGUCCGAAUACACACAAAGGAAAAUAUUCGUGAGCAAUGUGUCUGCGGAGAUCGAUCCUCAGAAGCUUUUGGAGUUCUUUUCAAAAUUUGGGGAGAUCGAUGAUGGGCCACUGGGAUUAGAUAAGCAGACUGGAAAGCCUAGAGGGUUUGCGCUCUUUGUGUAUAAGAGUGUGGAAAGUGCAAAGAAAGCUCUGGAAGAGCCGCACAAGAAUUUUGAAGGGCAUACUUUGCAUUGCCAGAAGGCCGUUGAUGGUCCAAAGCCAAAUAAACCUUACUUUCAACAACCACAUCAGCAUCACAACCAGCAUCAACAUCAUAACCAGCAUCAGCAUCAACAGUAUGGUGGUCAUCAUCACCCUUCAAAAAAGAGCAAGUAUUCCAGCUCAGGAGGUGGUGCAGGACAAGGUCAUUUGAUGGCACCUUCGGGACCUUCGGUGGGUUACAACCCAGCCGUUCCUCCGGCAUUGACCCCUGCUUUGGGACAGGCCUUGACUGCACUCCUUGCGACUCAGGGAGCAGGACUGGGGAAUCUUUUAGGACUUGGUGGACCUGUGAACCCACAGGGAAUGCCACCUGCGAUGAACAAUCCUGGGUAUGGAAAUCAGGCAGGUGCAAGCUAUGGUGCGCAACCAGGGAUGCAGGGUGGGUACCCCAACCCACAGGUUGGUCAAGGAGGCAAUAGACCGCAGCAAGGUGGUGCAUCUUACAUGGGUCAUGGUCACUAGUCUUGUAGCUCCCAUUCGUUGUUCGGUCAGUGGCAAUGCUCAUGAAUGUCCUUCGCCAGUGGCUGUUUCAGGAACAUGAACAAGAACCGGAGAGUGGGGAAUCAUCUAUGAAUGGCUAAUCAUGCUAUGGAGCCUGGAGGGGUACAUACAUAAUUUAGUGUUACUGGUGCAUUAUGAAGACUGUAGAGGUCCAUCAGAAAGAGGUGAUCACGUAAUCGAAAAGGAAGAUAUGAAGAAAGCGUGUAGGCAAAGAUUGUGGUUCUCACAGAAAGUAACCGACGAGAUGAUGUGUGAAUAAAUAAUGUACCAUGUAUGAGAAAGGCCACUAAAGUUGGUUUAGUAGGUCGAUGAUAGGGAAUGUAAAAGCUUAACUUGCAUGCGUUAAUAAUAUCGUCAUUUUCGAUACCGGAUCAUAAGAUAAAUUAAGACGAUGCUAGAUAAAAUAAUUUCUUCCUACUUCUAGGUUAUUAAUGUAAUAUAAUUACCAAAAUUAAUCACCAGAACAAUAACUUCUUUGAUUAA